CAAGGAUUCCCCUAGUAACUGCGAGUGAAGAGGGAAAAGCUCAAAUUUAAAAUCUGGCAGCGUUUGCUGUCCGAGUUGUAAUUUAGAGAAGUGUUACCCGCGUUGGACCGUGUACAAGUCUCCUGGAAUGGAGCGUCAUAGAGGGUGAGAAUCCCGUCUUUGACACGGACUACCAAGGCAUUGUGGUACGCUCUCAAAGAGUCGAGUUGUUUGGGAAUGCAGCUCUAAAUGGGUGGUAAAUUCCAUCUAAAGCUAAAUAUUGGCGAGAGACCGAUAGCAAACAAGUACCGUGAGGGAAAGAUGAAAAGAACUUUGGAAAGAGAGUUAAACAGUACGUGAAAUUGUUGAAAGGGAAACGCUUAAAGUCCAGUCGCGUUGGUUAGGAAUCAGCCUUGGUUUUUCCUUGGCGCAUUUCCUAGUCGACGGGUCAACAUCAGUUUUGACUGUUGGAUAAAGAUCAAGGGAAUGUGACACCUUCGGGUGUGUUAUAGCUUUUGGUUGUAUACAACGGUUGGGACUGAGGAACUCAGCACGCCGAAAGGCCAGGUCUUGUACCAUGUACGUGCUUAG
This 570-nucleotide ribosomal RNA is filed under the name Armillaria mellea. RNAcentral's name for it is "eukaryotic LSU rRNA". It matches the Rfam family "Eukaryotic large subunit ribosomal RNA", at positions 69 to 622 of the family's 3401-position model. Lineage: Eukaryota; Fungi; Basidiomycota; Agaricomycetes; Agaricales; Physalacriaceae. The record is from RNAcentral.